RNAcentral lists this ribosomal RNA (253 nucleotides) under uncultured bacterium. RNAcentral's name for it is "partial 16S ribosomal RNA". It matches the Rfam family "Bacterial small subunit ribosomal RNA", at positions 524 to 776 of the family's 1533-position model. The record is from RNAcentral.
UACGGGGGGGGCAAGCGUUGUUUGGAAUUACUGGGCGUAAAGGGCUCGUAGGUGGCCAACUAAGUCAGACGUGAAAUCCCUCAGCUUAACUGGGGAACUGCGUCUGAUACUGGAUGGCUUGAGUUUGGGAGAGGGAUGCGGAAUUCCAGGUGUAGCGGUGAAAUGCGUAGAUAUCUGGAGGAACACCGGUGGCGAAGGCGGCUUCCUGGCCGAGUACUGACGCUGAGGCACGAAAGCGUGGGGAGCGAACGGG